RNAcentral lists this ribosomal RNA (96 nucleotides) under Danio rerio (zebrafish). The record is from RNAcentral. Lineage: Eukaryota; Metazoa; Chordata; Actinopteri; Cypriniformes; Danionidae.
GCUGGCAGCUAGCUCUCUGCAAGCUAAGCAUGCAGGGCUGUGCCUGGUCAGUACCUGGAUGGGAUACCACAUGGGAAAGCUAGGUUGCUGCCAGAA